AUAGUAACCAAUUUUUUUUUGGGUUUUCGACUAUUUUGUCAUUUCGUAACUAGUUUUUCAUCGAAUUUUUUAUUUUUUUUUGGCCCAAUUUUAGGCCCAAUGUCGGGCCCGUUACAGUUAUCAAUCAGGGAGCUGUCAGAGUAUGGGUGUUGAAUUGUGAUUCGUUUUCAAGGGAGGGGGCAGCCCUUUUGUUCAUUUAAAAGGACAACCAAUAUUUUUUUGAAAGGACGGGGGACGAAGAAGAAAAGAUCUAUCGAUUACAACAAAAAACUCCCCCGAUUGUCCCCCAAAAUCCCAAAAUCUCAUUGCACCCUGAAUUCACAACACCCCAAUCUCACUAAACCUAUCACAAAACAAUAAUAAGACAUUACAGUCCCAGAAAGAAACAAAAAAAAAACAGAACGGAGAAAAGAGACCAAGAUUGGAAAGUGUUGAAUGCGCUAGAGUAGGCGCUUCCGUUAAACUCCCGAGACCCACUGAACCCCAAAAUUCCUGGAACAAGAAAUAGAAGUUUAGUGCACACCACCGAAACUUUGAAGAACAAACGCUAACAGUAAAAGGUCGGUACUCCAAAACGAACCCUUUUCCGAUUCAUGAUCAUUUACAUGUCAUUCAUAUUCUGUUUCAACACUUAUCAAUAUACUUCCUAGGUUUAUAUGCUAUAUUGCCUGUUUUGUUAUCACUUAAAUUGCUCCUAACUUGAUAUUCACAACUAGUAAAUGGUUAAAUAGCCAGAUUAUACAAACAAUGAAUUCAAAAGUAAAAUGUAACUUUUUCGUUCAAAAUAGACUAUUGGAAAAACAGAUUAACAGUGGAUUAAACAACCUCCUAUUACCAUUUUCAUAUAGUGUACACAGAGAACUCAAGAACUACAAGGCUACUCAUAAAAAUCGAGCUAAAAUAAGUGCUUUUUGUUAAAUGUGAAUGUUGAAAUGUUCAUAAAAGUGACAAAAUAAUUAGUUUUUCAAUCGGAAAAUCAUUUUCCUAACACUUACAUUACUAGUUUAGUCUUAAUAACCACGAUAGUCAAGUUUUCAUAUUUUACGCAACUCAAUCAACCAAUGACAGAAUCGCUACUAUCUACCGAGCAAAAUUAGAACAAUUAGAGUUUAGGUGUUUUACCUUCCUAAAAGGUUGUCUUCUCUCUUAUUCGCACUUUUGUUGGUUUCCUCUGGUGAGUCAGGUCACCGUCUCCCCUUUCCUCACCACCGAUUUCGAGCACCGUAUAAAAAAGAAAAAAAGAACAAAAAAAACAGCAAGUAAGAAAAGAGAAAAAAAAACAAGAUUCAAACCCUAAAUUUGUAGAUCGGGGAUUGCAUGUUGUUGGACGACUCACUAAAGACAUCCUCUGAUGACAUCAAAGCCCAAAUCCGGCUAAAAUCGAGAAGAUAAAAGGAAGGGAAGUAGAUCUACGUUUUUGUUUAUUUGUUGUCACGGUUGAGGGAGAGGUAGCGGCGGUGCCGCCGCAGCCGCCAUCGCUGUGGACGUCGUCAAAAUAGAGAGGAAAGAAAAAAGAAGAAGAAGAAGAAGAAAAAAAAGAAAAAAAAUAAGAAGAAUUAGAAGAAAAAAGAAGAGGAGAAGCGGUGGCCGCGCCGCCGCCACUAGAGAGGAGAGGAAAGAGGGGAGAAGGAAAAAAGGAACGAGAAGAAGAGAGGAAGAAUGAGGAAAAAAGAAGGAAAAAGGGAGGAGAAGGAGGCGAAGAAGAGAAAAAGAGGGAAAAAAAGGGAGAAGA
Molecule: long non-coding RNA, 1732 nt
Filed under: Linum usitatissimum (flax)
Lineage: Eukaryota; Viridiplantae; Streptophyta; Magnoliopsida; Malpighiales; Linaceae
Description: long non-coding RNA (LUSI_LNC005394)
Source: RNAcentral